GGGGACGUACAGGUUUCGACGGAAAGUACAUUUAAAAGAUGCAAGUCGAGUUUGAUCACAACUCGUUAAUACAGGAUCAAAAAAUACAUGCUGACGACGAAAGUCCCAGUCUGGCAGAGCGCUUUAAUGCGCUUUUCGGCACCUUGGGGCAACCUAAUGCUGCCGCAAGUUACGCAUUAGCGUAACACCAGUGUCCGCAAGAAGCGCUUCUUAGCCGCAUCUUGACCGGGCAUAAUAAAGCUAAGAUAAGUAAUAAGCGUUGACUGGCGUUUGUUAUCUAAUAAAAUAUUAGUCUUACCCAAAUACAUCCUGCAAGCCGGUAAGUAAUUGGGAACAUAAAAAGGUUUGCUAAACUUGUAGAAAUUUCUUGAGUUGCUUUUACGGACGCGGGUUCAAAUCCCGCCGUCUCCACCA
RNAcentral lists this transfer-messenger RNA (414 nucleotides) under Patescibacteria group. RNAcentral's name for it is "GCA-016700095 sp016700095 Standard tmRNA". It matches the Rfam family "transfer-messenger RNA". From Rfam's summary of the family: Bacterial tmRNA, also known as 10Sa RNA or SsrA, is named for its dual tRNA and mRNA-like properties. Its role is to liberate the mRNA from a stalled ribosome. The record is from RNAcentral. RNAcentral also lists the same sequence under 1 other name.